CGGGGCGUGGGGAAGUCAGGUCGUUCCCGCCUCUCUCGGACAGAGGAGCCCGCCGGUUCGAAUCCGGCCGGCCCGA
Molecule: transfer RNA, 76 nt
Filed under: Enterovirga rhinocerotis
Lineage: Bacteria; Pseudomonadati; Pseudomonadota; Alphaproteobacteria; Hyphomicrobiales; Methylobacteriaceae
Rfam family: tRNA
About the family: Transfer RNA (tRNA) molecules are approximately 80 nucleotides in length. Their secondary structure includes four short double-helical elements and three loops (D, anti-codon, and T loops).
Source: Rfam by way of RNAcentral